CUAGUAGAGCUAAGAACUCUUACAAAUCCGCUGGUUUGAUCCUGUCACUCGGACUUUAAGGCAAAAUAUAUAUAUAUCUACCCGUAUUUUUUUCAAAAUACAUUUUCCUUUUUAACUUUGGGCGCCGCCACUGGCAGCCCAAUAUUAAUACACACCUCAUACUGGGCGCCGCCCCCGGCAGCCUAAUAUUUUCACCUGCUCUGGGCGCCGACACUGGCAGCCAAAGCACUUCCUUCCUGACUUCCAAAAUUCAUGCCGAGAAGCCGAAGGGCAGGUAAAAAGGCCCAAUUACGUCGGGUCCUUCGUACGAUCCAUGAGGAUCUCGGUCGUUCAGUUCACCAACGCCGCCGCCUAGAAAUCGUUGCCGAGGAAGUUCUUCUCGAUCCAGUGACGUUGGUUAUUCCAAAUUCGGGUAUCGCGUUAAGUGAGGUUCGGGAGUUGUCGAGCUCUUGUGUCGUUGAGCCAUCGAGCUCUUGUGUCGUUGAGCUGUCGAGCUCUUGUGGUGUGGUCCAACAGCUGGAGUCGCUCGUCCUUACGGAGGAACCGAGCCUUCAAAGCUCUUCCUGUGCAGAGGAGGAUUCACGGGCGAACCCAGUCUUCUGGACUGGUGUCAGUGAGGGUUGGCAGUUGGAUCCAGUGGACAUUCCAUCCGUCCAUCCACCCAGUGGGAGCAUCCCUUUUCACGACCCUCGUUACGGGUAUUACUCCGAGGCCUACUUCAAGGCCACCGGCCGAGACGCGUACGCACCAGCGGAGGCGAAGAAGUUACGCAAGAAAGGGAUUAUUUGGGCUGACUUAUGGGGCCCAUAAUCUCCACCAUGAUUUAGUAAAAAAUAGUAUGUACACUUAGGAAGGCUAGUAGGACAUCCCAACCCGCAUGCUUGCCACCCUCACUUUCAGCUCGAGAAGACAAUCACAGAAGCAUGUUGAAAUGGUCUAAUUCCUUUUCUAGCCUCAAAAAUAACCAUAUGUUGUUCCAACCAACUAUUUGUACAUGCAUUAUUGAUUUUUAAUUGGCUCAUUUUGGCUGGAUUCAGACAUUGGAAGUCGAAGCUUCAAUUCAGGUAAUUAUGAAAAAUAUAGUGUGUACCUUAAGAUAAGAUGACAACUUGGCCGCUGCAUCUCUCAUACACGACAUAACAUUUUUUGUUUUCAAUUAUU
Molecule: long non-coding RNA, 1161 nt
Organism: Microplitis mediator
Lineage: Eukaryota; Metazoa; Arthropoda; Insecta; Hymenoptera; Braconidae
Exons: 3
Source: RefSeq, a predicted model, not a curated record